AGUUAUUUAGCUUAUAUAAAGUUUAUAUUUUGAAAAUAUAAGAAAGAGAAAUUUAAUAACUU
RNAcentral lists this transfer RNA (62 nucleotides) under Homalodisca vitripennis (glassy-winged sharpshooter). Its description in RNAcentral is "tRNA-Ser". The record is from RNAcentral. Lineage: Eukaryota; Metazoa; Arthropoda; Insecta; Hemiptera; Cicadellidae.